RNAcentral lists this ribosomal RNA (200 nucleotides) under uncultured bacterium. RNAcentral describes it as "partial 16S ribosomal RNA". It matches the Rfam family "Bacterial small subunit ribosomal RNA", at positions 28 to 232 of the family's 1533-position model. The record is from RNAcentral.
GACGAACGCUGGCGGCGUGCUUAACACAUGCAAGUCGAGCGGUAAGGCCCUUCGGGGUACACGAGCGGCGAACGGGUGAGUAACACGUGGGUAACCUGCCCUGUACUCUGGGAUAAGCCUUGGAAACGAGGUCUAAUACCGGAUAUGACACCGAACUGCAUGGUUUGGUGUGGAAAGUUCCGGCGGUACAGGAUGGACCC